UUUGAUCUCUUUUGGUCUUUCGAUGUCGAUCUUUCUCUGUGUUCUCUUAAUUUGCGCAAUUAUGCAUUUAUUUUUGUGUUUUCUAGAUGUUUUGUCGCAGGAUUUUUUUUCCCUACUUUUGUUUGUUUCCUUUGGUAAAUGCUGUGAUUUCUCCUCGUACAAUUUGCUAUCAUUUGCGUGGGAAUGCCCAUCGUGAAUUCUCUUUAAGAAUUUGAUGGGAUUGAAGUAUAAGAGAAUUUGAAAAGUUGAUUAGUACUUUAGUGUAAUUGAAAGAGUGAUGAAUGCUACUAACUUUGUUACUGUUUUCAGUGUUAGGAGCGGAGCGAAUAGAGAUGGAGAAGAGAGUGUUAUUAGGGGUGCUAAAGAAGAACAAUCCCAUCAAGAAAAACAAGAAAAGUUUCCUCAAGAAAGUUGUGGGCUAUCUGGACUCUGAUUCUUGCAUGUUUGCGCCUCUAAUCUCUACCCCUCAUACUGAUUUUCUUGCAUCAAAAUCCAGCUCUUCUUCUACUGCAGAGUUCAACCUUGUUCUUCUGCCAAUGGCUUUUUAAUAUAUGCUACCUCGUGUGAUCAACCGGUUAUUUCUCCUAAAGGGCAUUCUAGGUUUAUUAAAAAGAUUACUUUGGAAGUGUCAACCAGGAUAUUAACAAGGAAGGAUAAUCAACCAACUGUUGAGACAUCAAAUGUAACAGUACAAGACCAAUUCUCUGAGCUUCCUAAAAAAGGCAUUUCUGGCCAGCAGAAAUUUGUGCACAAGGAAUCAGUGAAGCAUAUAGUUAAGUUGCUGCUCUUCUUUGUCAGAGAAGGGAACACAUGAUUCACAGCUUCGGGAGCUCCUUGUUGACUGAACCAUCGAUAAAGUACGACAUAUGCAUCGUGCUGUAAUCAAUUGAGAAGUGUCCUGACCUUCAGAAUCUCAGGUCUAAUUUGCUCUACUGAACAGUACAGGCCGUUAAUGUUUGUCAUGCUAUUGAAGACAGACGGAAGUUUUUAUUGGGAAUCACUUGGAAAAAGUUGGAAACUGCAAAGAUUAUCAGUGGCGGUGACAGUUUACGAAGAUUAGACUGCAUAAAGUGCUUCCUCCCUGUACGGGGGCCACCUGAAUCAGUAUGAGAAACUUGAAAUGCCAUCUGAGUUGAUUAUACCUAGUAUGGGCAGGAUUGCAUCAUUGUGUGCUGGCAUCUGACUUGAUGAGAAACGAACAAAGGGUGCAAAACAACAACAUUGUUUUUAUCCGAUAUCAAUUAUAGAAAUCUCAACACUGUUUGUAUUUUUCCUAGUUUGUGUUGUCUAUAUCAUGAAUGAACUAUAUGACAUUUCAUGAUUAUAACUGCAGGUUGUCAUGUUAGGCAAUGUACGAUUAAAAUUAAA
Molecule: RNA transcript, 1368 nt
Organism: Populus nigra (black poplar)
Lineage: Eukaryota; Viridiplantae; Streptophyta; Magnoliopsida; Malpighiales; Salicaceae
Exons: 5
Source: RefSeq, a predicted model, not a curated record